GCCCUGCUUUUGAAAAACUCAGGCUGCCUGUGCCCUCAGCUCUCCCCGAGAUUACAAAUUAACACUGGGAACUCUGAGCUCUUGUUACUACCAAGAAAAGAAUUCUGUCACUUUCUCUAGGAUGGCUGCCUGCCCUCACGACUCAAUACAUUUUUAAUUAAGCAUCAGCUGUCUACCAGCAAUGCAGCUCCUUGGGAUAUGAAAAGAGCCAAUCCCCACAGCUGCACGACCUGCCCCUUCUCCUUUGAGAGACCAACAGGCCAAUCAAUGACCGAUUGAACAACUGCAGACCCCAGUGGUGACGAUGGUUGGAAAAAGGGACUGGCAGCGUGGCUCAGCGGGUAAGGUGUUUGUUGUGGAAGCAUAAGGAGCGAGAGUUUGGAUCCCGAACAUCCAUAUGAGAGCCAGGCACGUUGCUGGUGCCUGUGACCCAGCUCUGGGGAGGUGGAGACAAAUGGAUACCUGGAGCCCAUUGGUCAAUCAGCUUAGCGAAGUGGGGAGUUCCAGCUUCAGUGAGGAGUCCCGGUUUGAGAAGAUGAGGCAGAGGAUGAUGGAGAAAGGCAUCAGGCAUCAACCUCUGGCCUCCAGGCUCACACAUGCACAUGCGUUUCCACCCACACAUAGAUACACACGUGUACCACAUAAAAAGCGAGUUAAAUGCAUAAACAACUGCACCACGGCCGAUGGUAACAGCCACGCUUGCUCCUGGCUUCGUGCUGGGUGUGUUCAGAGAUUUGCAUAAGCUUCGCCAUUAUUAAACAGGGAGGUGUGUGUGUGUGUGUGUGUGUGUGUGUGUGUGUGUGUGUGUUCCGUGGGUUACUGUGGAGACUGGCCUCUCUGAGGGUGAUAUUUUAAAAAAAAAGAAAACAAAUCGUGACGACCCCUUAACCCUCAGACCCUUCAGCUGCUCCAUCUCAGAUGCCGGUGGCUGUAUGGCUUCCUACCCAAGUGUUAGGGAGCAGGGGGAUGGAUGGAUGAUGGGAAGAUCCCACCCCAAGUGCACUCAGGAACUGCCCUUUGAGGGCCAGAAAGAUGGCUUAGGAGGUGCAAGCCUGAAGACUUGAGUGUGACCCCUAGAUCCCACAGUAGAGAACAGACUCCUGAAUCUUCCUCCAUGCAGUUCCCUUUGCAUGUGCAGCCCUGUGCGCUCACGCUCUCUCUCUCUCUUUCUCUCUCUGUCUCUCUCUCUCUCUCUGUAUGUCUAUCUCUCUGUCUCUCUCAAUAUAUCUCUCUCAGUCACACAAAACCAAGUAAACAUUUUUUUAAUUAAACUGAGCCCCGCCCCCAGACGUUAUUUUUCUUAUUUUCCAUGUGUGCCUGCAUGUAUCUACGUUUGUGUGACACCUGAAUGCUGGCUCCCACAGAGGUCAGAAGAGGGCACACGCUCUCCUGGAACCGGAGUUAUGGAUAACUGUGAGCCACUAUGUGCUGCUGGGAACUGAACCUAGGUCCUCUGCAAGAGCAUCAAGUGUUCUUAAGCACAGAACCAUCUCUACCACCAAGAGGAUAGAUGGAACAGCGCCAGGGUAUCUUAGCUGUGUCCAUGCCUACCCACCACCCUCAACCACCCACACGCUCGGUCACACGUUGACCCCUCAGAAGCCUGAGGCCUUAAAUCUACUAGAGCAGCACACUGACCACAGCUCAGAUAUGCCUGUCACUGUAAGAACAGGGGUGGGGUAGAGGGGGUGUGAAUGUGAUGCAGAUACAUGAAGAAUGAAACACUGCCUAGGGUUAGAUGAGAUCAGCCACAUACAGAGAAUGGCGAGCACCACAGGCUCUCUUCUGGCUUAAGGUGGCUCUUGACAUGAGAUGACAGCACUGCUGUUCUGGGGAAUCCCUGUCUUGCUGCACAUCUGGUGUCCAGGUGAGAUGGUGACAGGGUUCUGUACACAGAUGCCCUUGGUAAACACAGCCUCAGCCUGUGCAGCAGGUAACAUGUCUUUCUCGUGCUGUGGUAACUACCUUGAUGUGGCAGGCUUCUCUUCCAGGACUCACUAACUCUAACCUCCAGUGAUUUUCCAUUCACACUCCCUCCUUGAAACCCGGCAGCCCCACAAGAUGGGCAAAGGGGCAUACAUCUCUCUGGGACACACACGUGACUGGUGCCAGCUGUUCCUGACUUUCUGCCUCAGUCCUGCGUGUGCCUAGCUGAGUGAGUCACCUUCCUUCCUGCCGCCACAAGGGCUUUGGACAGCUCAGUCUUGCUGCAUCACCUAACAGCUUCCAAAUGGCAACGCGAAAUAUACACAGCUCCUUCCCAAACUGCGAAAAGAAAUGCUCUGCUUCCUUCUCACCCACCUGCGGCCUCCUGCCCUGCCCUUCCUCCCCCCUUUCUACCCACGGCCCUUAACCCAGCUCUGUACAGGAAGCCAAGAGUGGGCUGCUGGGGGUGGGAGGCCACACCCCUCUAAGGCUCCAGAAUUGAGGAUCUCCAUGCUUGUGCAGUGGAAUUACAAUUAUUACCGUUGUUAUUAUUACUUUUACCAUGCGUGGUUUGAGGCCAGUGUCUGGCCCACAAUACACAAGACGGAAGCCACCCACUCCUCAAAGAGGCAGCUGCUGAGAGGAAUGGCACUUUUUUUUUCAGAAGGAAUAAAGAGGAAGUAGAAAGAAGAGGAAGGAGAGAUGAGAUGAAAAGAAGGUGGGUCAGAGAGGCAGACAGGGGGCAGGAGAGUGAUUCUGCAUGUGCCUCGCAUGAACACAAAAGGCCUCAGGAUGCAGAAUGCACACACGGAGAACUAAACGCUGACUUUCUGUUCAUUGUGGCUUGCUGUCCCCAGGUGAGGAAGAAAGAGCGCAGAACCACCCACAAACUCACACCCAAAUUAAGUCAAUAUGGCUAGAGGGCCAGCUCCAUAGAUAAAGGGCUUGCUACAUAAGCCUGAUGACCUGGGUUCGGAUCUCAGCACCCACGUGUGGGUGCAGCAGUGUGCACAUCUGAGAUCCCUGCACUCCUACAGGAAGAUGGGAUGCAGAGGCCAGACCCUCCCCACACUCCUAGGACCGCUAGCCAGGUCCACACAGUGCUGAAUGGUAAGAUGCUGUCUAAAGCAAGAGAGAUGGGUAAGGUCAGACUCCCAUGGAAGGUGCAUGCAUGCACGGGCACCCACACGUACCAGGCACACCAGAGAGCAUUAUGGGAGGGCCAUAUUACCCUCAGGCAGUAGCAUCCCAGGGCUCCUGCUGGCAUUCCCAGCAUUCUUUGCUGCUGGCUUUCCCAGCACUCCCAGCGUUUUUCACCUUUCGGGUGUUGUUUUACCCACGGGUAGAAGAUAAAAUGGCAAACUAACUGCAAAGCACAGCGACAUGAAUGGCAGUGCGUACCAGACCCCCAAGUUCCCUGCUGUCCUCCUAACUCACUGUAGACCGACGUCAGGCACAUCUGCCUCGGGUCCCAACGGUGCCCUUUGCUGUGUUCCAUGUCACCUGUACUCUUUGCUUCCCUGCUGGGGUAUCUCAAAGCUACCAACAACCAGAUCUAGGGAGAAACAGGCUGGCCAGGCUCUGAUGUUAGCUGUCCAUGGGACUUGCCCGUUUCAAGUUCGCAUACACCAGCCUUCAUGCUCAGGAGGUUCAGAGUGGGGACUCCUUAACUUCUCCUGGGUAUUGGACUCUGUGGGCUUUCCAGCCCCCUAGAGCAAAGAUUCUUUAGUGGGGUCUAUGAGAAGCUCAGAACGCUCUGGGAGAAGUCAAGAGAAAGGUCAGAGAAUUAACUGGUUCCCUUCCCCCUCCCUGUGGACAUUAUACCAGGGGAGACAGGAGCAGAGCCCUGAAGAGGAACUCUGUCCUCAGGAACCCAGGCAGGGAUGAGGAAGGGCCCACAGGGCCACCUGCCUAGAGCCUCACCUGAGCUUAGCUUCCUCCAUGCCCCGCCUCUACCUCCCGCCAUCCCCACUUAACCCAGACACACAAGGUGACGUUGAAUAAUUGAUGCUGUUUUUAUGUCUGAGAAAUUGCCAUAAAAAUGACACUGAUAACAUAAUCUUAAAUUAUUCCACAUAAUGGAAAAAAAAUUAAAUGUCGCCUUUGAUCGCC
This 4038-nucleotide long non-coding RNA is filed under the name Mus musculus (house mouse). RNAcentral's name for it is "long non-coding RNA chr11:113467976-113472014". Lineage: Eukaryota; Metazoa; Chordata; Mammalia; Rodentia; Muridae. The record is from RNAcentral.